AUGCAAGUCUUGCACCCGGCGCUGCAGGGCCAUGCAAGUCUUGCACCCGGCGCUGUGGGACCGUGCAAGUCUUGCACACAGCACUGCAAGGCCAUGCAAGUCUUGCACCCGGYGCUGCGGGGCCAUGCAAGUCUUGCACCCAGCGCUGCAAGGCCAUGUGCCACGUGCACGCAGCGCUGCAGGGCCAUGCAACACUGGCACCCAGCACUGCAGGGCCAUGCAAGUCUUGCACCCGGCGCUGCAGGGCCACACGAGACUGGCACCCUGCGCUGCAGGGACUUGCAAGACUGGCAGCCGGCACUGCAGGGCGGUGCAAGUCUUCCACCCGGCAAUGCAGGGCCACAYGAGACUGGCACCCAGCUCUGCAGCACCGUGCAAGACUUGCACCGGUCUCUGCAGUGCCAUGCAAGACCGGCACCCAGCUCUGCAGGGCUGUGCAAGACUUGCACCCAUCUCUGCAGCACCAUGCACGACUGGCACCCGGCUCUGCAGUGCUGUGCAAGACCAGCACCCAUCUCCGCAGGGCCGUGCAAGCCCUACACCCGGCUCUGCAGGGCUGUGCAAGACCGGCACCCAGCUCUGCAUCACCAUGCAAGCCCUACACCCGGCACCGCAGCACCGCGCAAGCCCUACACCCGGCGCUGUGCGACCACGCGGGACCCAGGCCCGGAGCCAAGCCGGAGCCUGCGGACGGCGGCUCAGAGCUGCCUGGGGCCGGGAGGCGCACGGGCCUCAUCCUGCCUCCCUCCUUUAGCAAAAGACCCAGCUCAGCCAGCUGGUGCCCAGCCGGGCCCGCAGCGCCCCGCGGCCGAGACGCCCUCGAGAAAACCCCCGCGCACAGUUAAACGGGGCCUUCAACCCCUCUUAGCACCAGCGCGACGGCGGGACGGGGGGGCCCUGCAGCUGCCCCCCCCCGCCGCCGCCUCCUCAGGUCCUAGCACCGCUCCGAGCACCCUGCGCGGCCCCGGGGGCCGCCGGCGCGGCUCGCUGCGAAUUAGCCAGCACCCCGCAGCGAGCGGCCGGCGGCGCGGCCGGCCUCGGCGCCCGCCCCACGGGCGCCCCACGGGCACCCCGGCACCAUUCACAGUUAGAGGAAGAGACGGCGACGGGGGCCGGAGACCCUCCGAGCCUCCCCCGCGCCUUAGCACCAGUCCCCGCGGCUUCUCCCGCGCCGGUGCCCGAUGCGGCCGCCCCGGCGCGGCGAUGCCCCGUGUCCCUGCUCCGCGGCGGAGGAGCCCGCGCCGACCCAGCGGUGCCCCGCGGCAUCUGCCAACGCCGGGGAGCUGCUUUGCAAAGCGGUGCAACGCCGCAGGGUGCUGA
RNAcentral lists this long non-coding RNA (1320 nucleotides) under Dromaius novaehollandiae (emu). Its description in RNAcentral is "lncRNA (ENSDNVG00000007139.1)". Lineage: Eukaryota; Metazoa; Chordata; Aves; Casuariiformes; Dromaiidae. The record is from RNAcentral.